CCGGCCGGUGCCUAUACUGCAAGUCGAACGAGCUUCCGUUGAAUGACGUGCUUGCACUGAUUUUAACAAUGAAGCGAGUGGCGAACUGGUGAGUAACACGUGGGAAAUCUGCCCAGAAGCAGGGGAUAACACUUGGAAACAGGUGCUAAUACCGUAUAACAACAAAAUCCGCAUGGAUUUUGUUUGAAAGGUGGCUUCGGCUAUCACUUCUGGAUGAUCCCGCGGCGUAUUAGUUAGUUGGUGAGGUAAAGGCCCACCAAGACGAUGAUACGUAGCCGACCUGAGAGGGUAAUCGGCCACAUUGGGACUGAGACACGGCCCAAACUCCUACGGGAGGCAGCAGUAGGGAAUCUUCCACAAUGGACGAAAGUCUGAUGGAGCAAUGCCGCGUGAGUGAAGAAGGGUUUCGGCUCGUAAAACUCUGUUGUUAAAGAAGAACACCUUUGAGAGUAACUGUUCAAGGGUUGACGGUAUUUAACCAGAAAGCCACGGCUAACUACGUGCCAGCAGCCGCGGUAAUACGUAGGUGGCAAGCGUUGUCCGGAUUUAUUGGGCGUAAAGCGAGCGCAGGCGGUUUUUUAAGUCUGAUGUGAAAGCCUUCGGCUUAACCGGAGAAGUGCAUCGGAAACUGGGAGACUUGAGUGCAGAAGAGGACAGUGGAACUCCAUGUGUAGCGGUGGAAUGCGUAGAUAUAUGGAAGAACACCAGUGGCGAAGGCGGCUGUCUAGUCUGUAACUGACGCUGAGGCUCGAAAGCAUGGGUAGCGAACAGGAUUAGAUACCCUGGUAGUCCAUGCCGUAAACGAUGAGUGCUAAGUGUUGGAGGGUUUCCGCCCUUCAGUGCUGCAGCUAACGCAUUAAGCACUCCGCCUGGGGAGUACGACCGCAAGGUUGAAACUCAAAGGAAUUGACGGGGGCCCGCACAAGCGGUGGAGCAUGUGGUUAAUUCG
This 949-nucleotide ribosomal RNA is filed under the name uncultured Lactobacillus sp. RNAcentral describes it as "bacterial SSU rRNA". It matches the Rfam family "Bacterial small subunit ribosomal RNA", at positions 39 to 953 of the family's 1533-position model. The record is from RNAcentral. Lineage: Bacteria; Bacillati; Bacillota; Bacilli; Lactobacillales; Lactobacillaceae.